Molecule: long non-coding RNA, 98 nt
Organism: Solea senegalensis (Senegalese sole)
Lineage: Eukaryota; Metazoa; Chordata; Actinopteri; Pleuronectiformes; Soleidae
Exons: 3
Source: RefSeq, a predicted model, not a curated record
UCUCAUAGUGUUGAAUCCCCUCAGCUCGCCACAGUGUUCUCGCUCCUUUGAGUUAAUUGUUUGGCUUUUAUGGUCCACAGCUGUUUCUGGUCUGAUCC